CUCCUCCGGGGCUGUGUGGUUUCCACAGAAGGUCCUGCCUGGGCUAGACUCAGGGGACGCGGGCAGGAGGAUGGUCCCCGCGUCCCGCUACUUUCCUCUUCCAGGGCUCCAGGCCCCAGCUGCCCGUGUUUCUUGUCUCCAAGCUGCACGUGACCCAAACCACCUGCAACAACAGAGGCCAGCACUGGUCCUUCGUCCUCUGUGUGUGACACAAGGUGUCCCUCGCUGUGCACGUGCUAUGGCCAUGCCCUGUGCUGGGCCCCUCAUGCCAUCUGCCUAAGGAGCCCCACAAGGUGGGGGCCAUGCUGGAGUCAAGGCUGAGGGCCUGGAUGUGCUGGGCACCUCUGUGCCCCCUUCUCCGGCCCUGGAGGCUCACCUGUGUACCCUGCGCCCACAGGCUUCCUGUCCUCCAGCGUCUGGUCAGGCCCAGCCAGCAGUGGGGAGCAGGGAGUGGGGAGUCCUGCAAGAGACUGGACGGCAGGAGGAGAGGGGCAGGGACAUCUCUUUCCUGGAUCCCCUCUCUGUAGGGCCACGUGGUGGCCGUUAACCCGUUCCUCUAUCUGGGGCCACAGCUCCCGCCAGGUGGCCCCUCUCCUCCAGCUGCUCGCCCUCCAGUCCACAGCUCCUCUCUCUGCCCCACAGGGCCCAGGCAGUACGAGCUCCCCACGGCUGCCAGCCCCAGGUGCUGCAGCACCCCUCGGAGGACAGCCUGGAUGCUGCGUAUGCCCCAAUGCCAACUGCCCAAGGGCAGGGACUCGGUUUGUAUGCUCCUGCCGUGGCCCCAGCACUCUGACUGGUGUCCAGAGCACAGCCAGUGCUCAGCAAAUACUUGCUGGGUGAAUGGCUGAGAGCAGGAACAAAGGAGCCCGACUGGAAUGAGGAGGGACAGCCCUGAAGAGGAUGGACUUCAAGGAUGUGUGGCACUGACCACAGCACGGCACAACAAUCAGACCAGAAACACGCGUCCAGAAACACACAAAACUUGUCCAUGCGUGUUCACAGCAGCACUAUUCAAACAGCCAAAAGGGGAAACAACCCAAAUGUCCGUCAACGGAUGAACAGAGAAACUAAAUGUGGU
Molecule: non-coding RNA, 1078 nt
Organism: Delphinapterus leucas (beluga whale)
Lineage: Eukaryota; Metazoa; Chordata; Mammalia; Artiodactyla; Monodontidae
Source: RefSeq, a predicted model, not a curated record